Molecule: microRNA precursor, 94 nt
Filed under: Marmota monax (woodchuck)
Lineage: Eukaryota; Metazoa; Chordata; Mammalia; Rodentia; Sciuridae
Source: RNAcentral
CACUUUAAUUCCCAGGGGUCUUGUUCAAAUGCAGAUUCUGAUUCAGUCAGCCCUGAAAUUCUGCACUUCUAGCCAGCUCCCAGGAGUUGCUGCU